AUUGAACGCUGGCGGCAUGCCUUACACAUGCAAGUCGAACGGCAGCACGGGUGCUUGCACCUGGUGGCGAGUGGCGAACGGGUGAGUAAUACAUCGGAACGUACCUUAUCGUGGGGGAUAACGCAGCGAAAGCUGUGCUAAUACCGCAUACGCCCUGAGGGGGGAAAGCGGGGGGAUCGAAAGACCUCGCGCGAUUAGAGCGGCCGAUGCCUGAUUAGCUUGUUGGUGGGGUAAAAGCCCACCAAGGCGACGAUCAGUAGCUGGUCUGAGAGGACGAUCAGCCACACUGGGACUGAGACACGGCCCAGACUCCUACGGGAGGCAGCAGUGGGGAAUUUUGGACAAUGGGGGGAAACCCCUGAUCCAGCAAUGCCGCGCGAGUG
Molecule: ribosomal RNA, 383 nt
Filed under: uncultured bacterium
Lineage: Bacteria
Description: bacterial SSU rRNA
Rfam family: Bacterial small subunit ribosomal RNA
Source: RNAcentral